Molecule: ribosomal RNA, 599 nt
Filed under: Salinicola salarius
Lineage: Bacteria; Pseudomonadati; Pseudomonadota; Gammaproteobacteria; Oceanospirillales; Halomonadaceae
Description: bacterial SSU rRNA
Rfam family: Bacterial small subunit ribosomal RNA
Source: RNAcentral
CCCUGGUGGCGAGCGGCGGACGGGUGAGUAAUGCAUAGGAAUCUGCCCGGUAGUGGGGGAUAACGUGGGGAAACCCACGCUAAUACCGCAUACGUCCUACGGGAGAAAGCAGGGGAUCUUCGGACCUUGCGCUAUCGGAUGAGCCUAUGUCGGAUUAGCUAGUUGGUAAGGUAACGGCUUACCAAGGCGACGAUCCGUAGCUGGUCUGAGAGGAUGAUCAGCCACACUGGGACUGAGACACGGCCCAGACUCCUACGGGAGGCAGCAGUGGGGAAUAUUGGACAAUGGGCGAAAGCCUGAUCCAGCCAUGCCGCGUGUGUGAAGAAGGCUUUCGGGUUGUAAAGCACUUUCAGCGAGGAAGAAAGCCUCUGGGUUAAUACUUCAGAGGAAGGACAUCACUCGCAGAAGAAGCACCGGCUAACUCCGUGCCAGCAGCCGCGGUAAUACGGAGGGUGCGAGCGUUAAUCGGAAUUACUGGGCGUAAAGCGCGCGUAGGUGGCUUGGCACGCCGGUUGUGAAAGCCCCGGGCUCAACCUGGGAACGGCAUCCGGAACGGCCAGGCUAGAGUGCAGGAGAGGAAGGUAGAAUUCCCGGUGUAG